Long non-coding RNA from Homo sapiens (human), 2474 nucleotides. RefSeq lists it as uncharacterized. Lineage: Eukaryota; Metazoa; Chordata; Mammalia; Primates; Hominidae. The record is from RefSeq and is a predicted model, not a curated record. The transcript is spliced from 3 exons.
CCUUAUCGAGCGCAGGGUGUUUGACUUCAGAAACACAUCCCCACGGCUUUCCUUUCCGCCUUCCUUCUGGGACUGAUUUGUUUACUUCUUUCAGAGGUUCGCCGUCCCUCUUUCUGCAGGGGUUUGCUGGAUCACAGGUCCCCAGUGCCCCGGACAUAGUGUGUGAGGAAUGCGGGUAUGAGAGAUACUAACAUAGGCAAAGUCGGCUCAUCUCAUCCAACCUCACCACCCUGUGCAUUGCAACCCCACAGUGCAAUGUAAAGAUGGGGAAACAGGCCCAGAGACUCAAGAGAAAUGAAACGAGUGGAGAUUGAGACUGAACUGGACCGGGAUCCGGGCCCCACAGCUGGGCUUGUCCCGAGGCUGUGUGCUGCCCCCGGAGCUCCUUGGAUGGAGAAGCGCUCCCUGCCCCUCCCUGCUCCAUGCCUGGCUUAGACACACGGCGGCCCUGCUCAUGCCUGAAAUUCCACCCUUAGCCACCCUCCCCUGUUUGGCAUUGCCCUCGCACCCCCUCUCGAGGGACACAGAAACCCCGCGUGUGGGUGUCCUCACUGCAGGUCUCCCUACCUGGCAGGCGGGGAAUGUUUUGGGGCAGGUGGUGGGCAAUGGAGGAGAAACAGUAAGCAGGGAUUUCAGGAAGAAGAAAACGCCAGCAAGAUCUGAUCCUGGUCCUCAAAGAGCAUGGAGACCCUCUUUAUACAAAUGGGAAUACUGAGGUAUGCAGUUCGAGAGGAUUGACCGAGGCCAUUUGGCUGGUUGAAGAGCGAUGCUGCGUGUCCAGAGCAGCGGGUGUGGGAGGCAGAGCCUGGAGCUCCCAGAGCCGGCGGCCCACGGCCUCGCCUCCAGCCAGGAGGGUGCGGAAUUCUCCCCCACCCAGCAGAGGCUCUGGCCAUCUGUCUCCAAGGAUGCGGGGGAGCGGACCGGCUGUGCCGCUCUAGGGCUGCUCCGCCUGACAGACAGCAGUGUCGACCACCCAUGUUUGCUGCACAGACUCUAGCUUCCACACCCCUCCCCACCCCAGCAGCCUGGGGAAGGAAGGCUGGAGGUCCCUGCAUGACGGGUGAGGAGAGAGGACAGGAGCCCGGUGCUCUGAACACCGCCCCAGCCCAGCUGCACGUCAGGACCCCGCACUGGCCUCUUACAUUGAGAAGCCAAGACCCACCCAAAACCCAGCUAUCAAAGUCUCUGGGGACAGCACCAGCAGGGCAGAGGGCGUUGGUUCCCUUAGAAUGUGCUAGAAGGCUCAUCCCUGCAGGAGGUGCCCCUGCAGGCAUCCUUGCCCCCACACUGCCUGGUGCUGCCCACCUGCUCACUUGCAGGUGACCCUAGUUUCUCAGUGGCUCGGCAGCCUCGCGGGCUGUUGUAACACUGACACCACGUCUGUGAGAUCAUUGGCUUGGAAGAUUCAGCUCAGAAUUGGAUAGAAGGGCCCUGCCCUGCCAGGCACAGCUGCCGGCCCUUGUCACCUGCAGCUGCAUGAGAAACUAAGGCUCAAACCAAAUCCUUCUGGACAGAAAAGCAGGUCCCCCUCCACUACCCCUUCGUCUGGGCUCUCGGUCAGCGGGGUCAGGGUGGCCGGGACAGUCACUCUCAUUUCCAGAGGAGGCGAGAGGCAGAUGAAGGCCAUGGACAGCAAGCCAUGGGGCCACAGCACAGCCUCAGGUCGUUGCUGACACACCUGCGCCUCCCACAGCCCUCCCCAGGAAAGCCGCGGCAGAGCUCACCCCACUCCCAGGGUGCUCACCUGGGACCUCCUCACCUCUGCACCUGCCCUGGGUAUCCUCAGCCGUGACCCUGGCCUGGCAGUGCCGGCGGACAGGUUGCAACCAGCCCAGCUCCCCAGGGGUGAGAGGGGCCCAUCACCGGCCACCCACAGGCAUCCCUGGGUCUGCUUUUUGGAGCAGUGUCCGGGGUUCCCUUCAUAUCCUUUAUAUCUAUGUGAACCUGACCGGCACACUCACUCCAGGCCCAGGUGUUCUGUAAACACUGAACACCAUGCUGUUAACCAAGGUUACGUUAAAAAGUGACUAUGUGGCCAGGAAAUAGAUUUUGUAUAGUUAUGUGCUGUUAGGAUAGAUACGGGUUUUCGUCUGCGGCUCCUGGCUUAUAACUCCCAUAGCACUUGUUCCCAUUUGCGUUAGAAUGUUGGGGGUGUUGAGCCUCAUGGGCAGCCUCUGCCUUCUCCUGCCCUCCUUUCACCUGCCCCAAGGCGGCACCCUAACUUUCUCCUGCCUUUCGGAUUGUGGGUCUUAAGACCCUCCCAUGAGAGGGUCCCAUCCUAUGCCAUGGGGGAAGGAAUGCUGACAUCAUGAAGCUUCCAUAAAAUCCCAAGAGGACUCGGUUCAGUGCGGUUCCUGGAGUGUGGCGCGCCCAGCAAGGAUGUGGGAGCUCUGCGUCCCUUCCUCCCACUUCGGUCUACGCAUCUCUUCAUCUGCAAUAUUCUUUUUCAUUAAUCUAUAAAUGUGUUUGCCUGA